CUUCCCCAUCUGUUUUGUUUCCAGAAAAGUCGGUCUGAGUUUCACUUCACAGGGGAGGUGGAGACUCAGGUUUUGUUGCUACCCUGCAGUAUAAAAUCCCCACACGGCUCGCUCUCCUCAGUCCUGCAGUCCUCUGCUGAACGCCAUUAUGACGACCACAGAUGAGCAGGAUGAAGAGGAAGAUGAUGAUUAUGACGAAAAGUAUGAAGAUUACAAGUAUAAUUACUUUUUAUAGUGUACAGUCAGUCUACUCCCAAGGGUAGCACACCAGGUUCCUUUGUGGAACCGGUGGGCAGAAGUCCACCUGAGGCACUGAAACAGGCCUUAAAACUAGGAGGCGGAACUCCUUCCAGAUGAGGAAGGACUUAACCUCGAACAAAACAGACUAUCACUAUCACAAUGCUAUGUGAAGGUACUUGAAGGAAUUUCUGAGUGGCUCAGAACAUUUCAGGGUUGCUGCUUUGGCUAAUGGUUAGAAUUCCAUAAUUUACUAUAUGAGGAUAUUAUGGUUGUAGAUAUCUUUUCAAUAAUGUAAGAUAUGUAGAUGCAUCUAACCUCCAAACCCAGGAUCUCUCCUGAAAUGAAGCCACAAGUCUAAACUCCCAUCUUCUGCUGUGUGUCAUGCAAAAAAUGCAUCACAAACCGCUGAAAGGCACAAAAGAGAGCCACUAGGAGACAGGAGGGCAGAGUUCCACCUGAGGUACUGAAGAUAAGACAAUAUUUCUACCAGGCCUUAAAGGGAGAAGAGGCGCCUACCAGAUGAGGAAGGAGGACUUAAGCCUUGAAACCAUGAAGCGAGAAGACUCUCACAAUAUGAAGGCAGUUUAUUAUGUUAAUCAUAACAUGAUUAACAUAAUACAUAAUUUCUGUUGUACCUUAAACUAAUGGACAUACUGUAUGUUCAACUAUCACAAUGCUAUGUGAAGCAAUGUGAAGUGUCUCAGAACAUUUAAGGGUAGCUGCUUGCCCAAAAUGGUCAGGAUUGCAUAAUUUCCUAUAUGAGGAUAUUAUAGUGGUAUAUCUUUUCAAUAAUGUAAACCAUGCAUCUAACUGAUAAAUGAGGAAAUAGGACUUAAGCCGUCUAUACUUCAAGUGAGAAGACACUCACAAUGUGAAAGCAUACAGUUACAGGGUAUAAAUAAUAUAAUAGUAUGUUUAUUAUCGAACCAUGUUUACUUGUGGUUAUUACCGAUGUGAAAUGGCUAGCAAGUUAGCGGGGUGCGCGCUAAUAGCGUUUCAAUCGUAACGUCACUUGCUCUGAGACCUUGAAGUAGUUGUUCCCCUUGCUCGGCUUUUGUGGAGCGAUGUGUAACGAUGCUUCAAGGGUGACUGUAGUCUAUGUGUGCAGGGGGUCCCUGAUUCGAGCCCAGGUAAGGGCAAAGAGAGGGACGGAAGCUAUAGGGACUAUGUUCAACUAUAACUAUAAGGAUUUCUGUCGCUUGGUUUUGUGGCUAAAGGGAACAUUUGAGGGUAGUUGUUCAGGAUAAAAUGGUUAUGAUUGCCUAGAUUUUCAUAAUGUAUUAUGAACAUAAUUUAGGGUGAUUACAUAUGUUCAUAUAUGAUGUAUAUGUAGAUACAACUAACUAUCAAAGCCAACAUCUCCCUUCACUUGGAGCCACAUGUUGAAUGUCCCUUCUUGUGUUUUACUUGUUUUGAAAUAAAUGUUUUCUUUCAUUCUAA
Molecule: long non-coding RNA, 1680 nt
Organism: Oncorhynchus tshawytscha (Chinook salmon)
Lineage: Eukaryota; Metazoa; Chordata; Actinopteri; Salmoniformes; Salmonidae
Exons: 2
Source: RefSeq, a predicted model, not a curated record